UUAGUUGUGGCUGAGUGGUUUAAAGCAACGAUUUGCUAAAUCGUCAAAUAAAAAUUCUUUAUUUCGCAAGUUCGAAUCUUGUCAUCUAAU
Molecule: transfer RNA, 90 nt
Filed under: Emiliania huxleyi
Lineage: Eukaryota; Haptophyta; Isochrysidales; Noelaerhabdaceae
Also listed under: 4 other names
Description: tRNA-Ser
Rfam family: tRNA
About the family: Transfer RNA (tRNA) molecules are approximately 80 nucleotides in length.
Source: RNAcentral